RNAcentral lists this ribosomal RNA (555 nucleotides) under uncultured bacterium. RNAcentral's name for it is "partial 16S ribosomal RNA". It matches the Rfam family "Bacterial small subunit ribosomal RNA", at positions 355 to 900 of the family's 1533-position model. The record is from RNAcentral.
UAGGGAAUCUUCGGCAAUGGGGGCAACCCUGACCGAGCAACGCCGCGUGAGUGAAGAAGGUUUUCGGAUCGUAAAGCUCUGUUGUAAGUCAAGAACGGGUGUGAGAGUGGAAAGUUCACACUGUGACGGUAGCUUACCAGAAAGGGACGGCUAACUACGUGCCAGCAGCCGCGGUAAUACGUAGGUCCCGAGCGUUGUCCGGAUUUAUUGGGCGUAAAGCGAGCGCAGGCGGUUUGAUAAGUCUGAAGUUAAAGGCUGUGGCUCAACCAUAGUUCGCUUUGGAAACUGUCAAACUUGAGUGCAGAAGGGGAGAGUGGAAUUCCAUGUGUAGCGGUGAAAUGCGUAGAUAUAUGGAGGAACACCGGUGGCGAAAAGCGGCUCUCUGGUCUGUAACUGACGCUGAGGCUCGAAAGCGUGGGGAGCGAACAGGAUUAGAUACCCUGGUAGUCCACGCCGUAAACGAUGAGUGCUAGGUGUUGGAUCCUUUCCGGGAUUCAGUGCCGCAGCUAACGCAUUAAGCACUCCGCCUGGGGAGUACGACCGCAAGGUUAAAAC